GGCCGGGUCGUAUGGUAGUUCGUGAUGGUGACAGCUUCGUUGAUUCUUAUAUAGUCCACCCUCCGUUAGUAGGACAGGCAGAAUUUGUAUUGCGGAGUAAAUCUUGCUAUGUUCUGAUUUACUUUAACAAUGUUCCUUAUACCUGAAUAAAGAGUCUUUUAUGCUAUAUAUGAUCUUGUAGAUACCUAGAGUAGAUUGUAACACCCAAAAUUUGAUUUUCAAAUAACAGGAUUUAAAUUGAUUUAUUUAAGUAUUUUUUGUGAGCAUUUGAAUCUAGCAAAUAAAUAAUUUUGUGCAAAUUAAAAUUCAUCAUAAAUUUAGAAACAUGAAUUUGCAUUCAUGUUGGGGCAUAUUUUUUAUUUGUGCUGUGAGAUUCUAGAUUGAAGUUAAUUGUGUUCAAAAUUCUAUUUGAAAAGGGCUUUGAAAAAUAAAAUAGAAAAAAAAGAGGAGAA
RNAcentral lists this long non-coding RNA (452 nucleotides) under Sorghum bicolor (sorghum). RNAcentral describes it as "long non-coding RNA (SBIC_LNC010830)". Lineage: Eukaryota; Viridiplantae; Streptophyta; Magnoliopsida; Poales; Poaceae. The record is from RNAcentral.